Molecule: long non-coding RNA, 7178 nt
Filed under: Lathyrus oleraceus (garden pea)
Lineage: Eukaryota; Viridiplantae; Streptophyta; Magnoliopsida; Fabales; Fabaceae
Description: Pisum sativum (pea) long non-coding RNA (PSAT_LNC003154)
Source: RNAcentral
GAGUCUUUGAACUAAUUCUAUUUUAGUGAAUUUCCUUCCUGGCUUGGUAGCCCCUAUACGUAGGUGAGUUGCACCGAACUGGGUUAACAAUUGCUUUUGUUAUUUGCUUUACCAUUCUGUAUUUUUUAUCCAUUGUGUGUUAACAGAUAUUAGUGUCGUAACAUUACCUUCGACAUCUUAUAUCUGAUACCAGAAGUUCAAUUGGUAUCAGAGCAGGCAUCCUGCUCUGGUUCUGGGUGAGAUCUAGGGGCAAUACUUUCUGGUACAAUGGAGAGAGAUGGAGGAUCUGUUCAUAGGCCACCAAUUUUGGAUGGUUCUAACUAUGACUAUUGGAAACCUCGAAUUGGUAGCAUUUCUGAAAUCCCUGAUAGCAAGGCUUGGAAAGUUGUGGUACAGGUUGGGUGCAUCAUGUCAUUUACUAAAGAAGGAGAAGCCACCAUUAAGAAGCUGAAGAACAAUGGUCGAGGAGGAGAGAUCUUGCUCUGGAAACUCUAAAGCCUUAAAAUGCCAUAUUCAAUGGGUGGAAAAGAAUAUUUUCAGGCUGGUAAACAACUGUGAAGUGCCAAAGAGGCUUGGGACAUUCUCAAGACCACUCAUGAAGGCACCUCUAGGGUAAAGAUGUCUAGGGACUUCAGCUGCUCACCUCCAAGUUUGAAAACUUAAGGAUGAAAGAAGAUGAAAACAUUCAUGAAUUUCACAUGAGUAUCCUUGAAAUUGCUAAUGCUUCAAGAGCCCUGGGAGAGAAGAUGACAUAUGAAAAACUGGUAAGGAAAAUACUCAGGUCACUUCCUAAGAGAUUUGCAAUGAAGGUGACUGCCAUAGAAGAAUCUCAAGACAUUUCCAACAUGAGGGUAGAUGAACUAAUUGGUUCCCUCCAAACCUUUGAGUUGGGAUUAAAUGAUGGUUUUGAAAGGAAAACAAAGAGCAUGACCUUUAUGUCAAACACAUAAGAGGAUAAGAGUCCGGAGGAUGAUGAAGAUCUGGUCAAUGAAGUAGCAAUGUUGGGAAGGCAGUUCAAUAAACUGUUGAAAAAGAUGGAUGUCAGAUCAAGGGCAAAUGUCAAGAACAUCUCAUCUGACAUCAGUAAAUCCAACAAUGCUGGAAGAAGAGCAAUAUAAGAUGAGAAGCUCAAAGAAGGAAAAGAGGUUCAGUGCUAUGAAUGUGAUGGGUAUGGACACAUCAGGACUGAAUGUGGAACCUACCUCAAGAAACAGAAGAUGAGUCUUGCUGCCACUUGGUCUGAUGAGAGUGAAACAGAGGAGGCUGCAAAUCUUGUGACAGCGAUGACAGGAAGAUGGGGAUCUGAUGAAGACUUAAGUGAUGAUGAAGUAACCUUUGAAGAAUUGGCCUCUGCCUACAGAAAGUUGUGUCACAAAAGUGUAGAGCUGUACAAACAGGUUGAAAGCCAGAAGAAGGAAAUAACUCAACUUGAGAAUGAGAAGGAAGAAUACUUGGAAACCAUCUCCAAGUUACAAACAGAAGCAGUGGUUCUGAAUGCCAAGCUAGAUGAAAAUCCACAAGCUGAAAAUCAGAAGAUAACACAGCUGGAAAGUGAGAAGGCAGACCAUGCAAUAACCAUCUCUAAAUUGAAAACUGAAGUCAUGUUUCAAAAUUCAAAAUUAUAAGAGAUGACCAAGUAUGUAAGAAUGUUAAGCAAUGGGUCUGAUUCCUUAGACAAGAUUCUUCAAACUGGACAAAUAACAGGAGACAAAUCUGGCAUUGGGUAUAAUAACUCAAAGCCUGAGAGCAGUUACACUGGUGUCAAACCUCAAGCCAAACUUAAGUGCAUUCAAAAACCUGUGAUGUCAUAUCAUAUGUCACAACACCAGAGGAGAAAACAGUUGAAAGGGAAACACCNUCAUUGUGUAUUGAUUUCUGGACCUGUUUUCUCAGAGCAGGAUGUCGAGACUCUGGGUUGACUUGUAUUGCAAUCAGUUAGUUUUCAUCCAACCUAGUUGAGCCCAACUGCUAUCAUCUCUAUACCUUUCACAGGUGUCAUCCAGAUCUUCUUCAUAUUGUACUUGGCCUUUUUGCAUCGAGAUAAACAUAGAGUCCUUGUGGCUUAGUCACAACGUUCCAUUCUGCCUAUGACUGGUCAUAUGUCCACUUGUUGAUCUAACUCUCAUUUUUUUGAGCAUCAUAACUUUUCUCCUCUGAGCUUCUGGUGUGACAUCUUUUCUAUGACUUUCCCCAGCCUUGUUUUUCAUCACUCUUGAGAGCAUUUGUACUCAACCAAUCUUUAAGGGAUAUCUUUGAGAGCUCCAUAUGUAGCAAUUGUCUUUUGGUCCUGAUUCUCUCAUAAUUACUUCACUAUUUAUGUCAAAGAUUAGACAUUCAGUUUUGGUGAAGUUAACAUUCAGACCUUGAUACAUAGUUGAGCUGAUGCUUAUUAGGUUUGACGUUAAGCCUUACUAGUACAACCUUGUCAAGUUUAGGUACUCCAAGUGAAAUUAAGUCUACAUGUUCCCUUGAGAUUUCACCUUUGUUCUCCUAUCAAAGGUUUACAUGACUUAUGGUAUGGUGAUGCAGAUCAGUUAGCGGUCUUGGUUAUUUUCCAGUCAUGGUGUUUGGACUCCACUAUCAAAGUAACCACUCUUCUUGGCUGAGUUCUGAGGAAAUGUGAUAUCAGAUUGUAACAUUAGUCUUAGAGGACCAAUUGCUCUUGAUGAUAGGAUAUGCUGUUUGACGGGUCUAUUGAUAGUGAUACCUGUGAUGAGGCAGGCUAGGCAUAGCCUACAGUUUAUAGCAGAAAGGUUAGAUGAACCAAAUUUUCCACACAGUAAUGGCAUCUCCAUCUUUGGUGUUCUUUCAACUGUUUUCUCUCUUGUGUUGUGACAUAUGAUAUGACAUCACAGGUUUUUGAUGCACUUAAGUUUGGCUUGAGGUUGACACCAGUGUAAUGCUUAAAUAGUGAAGUAAUUAUGAGAGGAAUCAGGACCAAAGACAAUUGCUACAUAUGGAGCUCUCAAUUGGAUUAUCCCUUAAAGUAUUGGUUGAGUACAAAUGCUCUCAAGAGUGAUGAAAAACAAGGCUGGGGGAAAUGUCAUAGAAAGAUGUCACACCAGAAGCUCAGAGGAGAAAAGGUUAUGAUGGCUCAAAAAACUGAGAGGUUAGAUCAAACAAGUGGACAUAUGACCAGUCAUAGGCAGAAUGGAACUGUUGGGACUAAGCCACAAGGGACUCUAUGUUUAUCUCGAUGCAAAAAGGCCAAGGACAAUAUGAAGAAGAUCUGGAUGACACCUGUGAAAGGUAUAGAAGAUGAUAGCAGUUGGGCUCAACUAGGUUGGAUGAAACUAUUACUGAUUGCAUACAAUGUCACACACGAUGUCAUGACAUCCUGAAUGCUGAAACUAGGUCCAAAAAUCAGAUUCAGCACAGAUGGAUAAAGUACUGUUCUUGCUAUUAUCACUCCAUUAGAAAAUUUGUGGAAGACAAAUUCAGAAGUCUAAAGCAUGGAUUGGAACUAGUAGACAAGGGUGCAAGGAAUUUGGGUAAAAUUAAAAUUGAAUAUGUGGGAGGGAAAUUAGGGAUUUGGACUCUUGUGAAAUUAUGGCAGUUAAAGUGGAAAAAUAAAGAAAAUAAAAAUAGUGUCUGCCCUUUUAAAAGAAAGAGCCACAUUAAUGAUAAAUCAUUCCCUGGCAGGGAAAUUAGGGAUUUGGACUCUUGUGAAAUUAUGGCAGUUAAAGUGGAAAAAUAAAGAAAAUAAAAAUAGUGUCUGCCCUUUUAAAAGAAAGAGCCACAUUAAUGAUAAAUCAUUCCCUGGCAUUGGAAAUAGUAUCUAUUCCCUUAGCACACGCUACCUAAACACAACAAUCUCCCUCUCCAUUCAUCUUCUCAGAGAAGCUCAGCUAGGGCAAAGAAAAUUUUCUCAAAAGUCCUACAACAUGUCUCAACAUUCAUCAUCAUCUAGUUCAAAAUCUUCUCACCAUGGAAAAACUCCCUUAAUAGAGUUUGUAGAUGAAGACGUGAUGGACGUCACUCCACUUUGCAUGAUACCAGGCGACACCCCAGGUCCCUCCUCCAAAGCUGGAGAUAAGCAUGGUAAUACCUCUGGUAACUCCUCUCUCCCAAAAGACAUGCAUUAUGCUGAUCGUGCCAUAAGGAACCUAGUCACUAGGAUUCUAAGAGAAGGGCAUGAAGUCAAAGGGGUUUCUACCCCUCUGUCUAGAAGGGACCCCUCUCCUGAGGAGGAACCUCAUGAGUCAAAGGGGUUUCUACCCCUCUGUCUAGAAGGGACCCCUCUCCUGAGGAGGAACCUCAUGCUGAUAAAGAUGAUGACUCAUCUAAAUCAGAAAAAGAAGUUGCUGCUGAAGGGCUAUGCUCUCUAGAUAAAACCCUACCUAGCAAGAAACCAACAAGUAUGUCUCAGGAGAAGGUUAUUGACCUAGAGGAAGAAAGCUCUGAAGAAGAGGAUGAUCCUUUGGUUAAUCAUGUAAAACCUAGUGUUGCUGAGAAACUGAGAACUAGGCAAGGGAAAAGUGUGGCUAAAAUGAGAACAGGAAGAGUGAAAAAGACUGCUGGUAUAGGACCCUCAAAAGCUUGGAGCUAAGUUGAGGUUAGGAAAAGGAAAGAAAGAGAUAGCUCUGACUCUGAGGAAGAUGUCAAACACGAUGUCCCAGACAUCUCAUCUGCUAAAAGGAAAACUGUUAUAAAGUCUCCAGCUAAGGUUACAGCUGUGCAUUUGGACAAUAUUUCCUUCCAUUUGGAAGAUGGUGAAGCCAAGGAGUCAGACGCCCAUACCUCAAGUGAGAAGUCUAAUUCUCAAGAUCAAUCUAGUGGUAGUUCUGAAUCUGAAAGUGAAGAAGAUGCUACCUCCUCAGACUAAGUUGUGGUGAUGGUCCCCCUGUUAUGAUGACAUGGGUGCUGUUCUGGAUGCUGUUAUGACUGUUUUGGAAGCUUGGAUGUUUUGUUUCUGUUGAAAUGUUUGUAUUUUGUGGCAGUCCUUACUGAUGCCUUGGUGUAAGAUUUGGGCUCUUAAUGAGUUCCAUGGAUUUCUCAUUAUCUCAGUUGUCACAGCUGUGUAUGAUGAUGGUUUGUAUCUCCUAACAAUUAUGUUAUAACAUUUUUAAUGUUAUAACAUCUGCUGUGACAUUCUCUGCUAGGAUAAUUGACAUUUAUUUUGUCUAAUUGGUCACCUUUGGUCAAUUUUGACUAAAAAGGGGGAUAAGUGAUUAUGUGGAGAGCUGCAGUUAAAUAUGUGGUUGUGGAGAUCUGCAGUGCUGAUGUAGCUAGCUAGGCUAAACAGAUGACAACUGAUGAUGUUGAAUAGAAUGAUGUUCUAUGAUGUUGGAAGAGAUGUCUGAUGUAAGACAAAAUGGUGUUCUGUUAUGAGAUGUUGGAGGAGAUGUCUGAUGUUCUGCGCAAGCUCUGUUCUGUACAGAUGAUGUUGAAGGAGAUGUCAGAAGGAAGUUCUGAACGUUAACAUGUUGAAGGAGAUGUCAAAAGGAAAUUCUGAAUGUUAACAUGUUGAAGCAGAUGUCAGAAUGACAUUCUGAUUGUUACAUGUGUUGUGGUUACAUGUGCUGUUAUUAUCAAAGAAGAUGUUUGUUGUAUGCACAGAUUUAGGGGGAGAAGGAGUACCCUUGUGCAUUUGUGUGUCUUACUAGUUGCAUCCAUAACUAGUAAUUCUGUUUGUUGCACAGAUUUAGGGGGAGGAGAAGUACCCUUUGUAUUACUAUAGCCAUAACUAGUAAUUGUUUUGCUUCUGCUGUUGAUUAAACUACUGCUAUGUUGUUUAAACUGCUGAUAGAGUUACCUUGUGAACAAAAAGGACAGAUAUAUGUUUUAGCCAAUAUUUGCCAAAUGGGAGUUUGUUGAUUCUAAGAGUUCGGCGAGCAAUUUUGGUAAAACAAAGAGUGUUCACAAGAUGUCAUGUGUGAUGUCUUAACAUGAGAUAUCCUAUGUACCUGCUGGAGUUCAAGAACAUGUUCAUGCAGGAUUGUUUCAGAAUGCCACAUACAAUGACAAGGCUUCUGGUAUUGGAUGUACCUGCUGGAGCUUAAAUGAAAGACACGUUCAUGCAGGAUUGUUUCAGAUGACAUACACAAUGUCAUGGCAUCUGAUAUGGCUGUAUCUGCUGGAAGUUAUAAAAGGAAUUAUUGGAUUAUGCAGGAUUUUUCCAGGAUGUCAGACCCGAUGUCAUGACAUCCUGUACACAGAACAUUCAAUAUGAAUGUCUGAUGUUUUGUGAUUGCACAAUUAAUGGCAAUCUUUGGAUGAUUAAAGAUAUGAUUAGCUGGCGCAUUCAAUCAUGGAUUACAACCAGAUUUAUUUAUUUUCCAAGGAGAUCUAAACAACUGUUAUAAAAAGAUUUGAUUGGAAAAUAGAUUUAGGGUUUUCAAGAUGUCCAAACCCAGCUGGAUGCUUCUAUAAAAAGGGACUUAGAAAACCUGUUUGUACACACAACCAAUACUGAGCGAAAUAUAGAGAGAGAGCUAGGGUUUGUGUCUGUUUAGUCAUGAGACUUGUAGGUCAUUCAAGUCAUCCAUUGAUGAUUGAAUUGGACUGAUUUGUGGUUGUAAUUGUCACUCUAAAGCUGUUAAGCAAGAAUGUGUGUCUUCUUGAUCAAAGCUGUGAAGCAAGAUAAAAUCAGGAGCUGUGUUCCUUCUUGCUUGAAAACGUCAGGUUGGAAGUAAAAUCAAAGAGGUACACUUCUUGAUCUUGCUCACAGUUUGAUCUCAUACGUUACUUGCAUUCGUAUCGUUGCUUACAGUAAAAUGAAGCAGUUUGUGUAUAAAUUGAUGAACGUAAUUUCUUUCUUACCAGAGAUUGUCCUGUUUAAAGAUUCCUGUUACGAAUGUGUGAAUUGAUAGUCGGAAGUGGAGUGAGUUCUCAUAUCUAAAAGUGCUUAGGUAGAUUAGCACGGGUAGAGAUUAGGUGAGAAAGACUGUAACUUGUUGAAGUGUACAGAGAGUCUUUGAACUAAUUCUAUUUUAGUGAAUUUCCUUCCUGGCUUGGUAGCCCCCAGACGUAGGUGAGUUGCACUGAACUGGGUUAACAAUUGCUUGUGUUAUUUGCUUUACCAUCCUGUAUUUUUUAUCCAUUGUGUGUUAACAGAUAUUAGUGUCGUAACAUUACCUUCGACAUCUUAUAUCUGAUACCAGAAUUUCAGCACUAUGAGGAUACGUAGGCACGAGGAUGCGAGUCCUUGGAGAGCGCCUUUCUCCACCCUUCUUUCC